AUACGUAGGGUGCGAGCGUUAAUCGUAAUUACUGGGCGUAAAGCGUGCGCAGGCGGUUGUGUAAGACAGGCGUGAAAUCCCCGGGCUCAACCUGGGAAUGGCGCUUGUGACUGCACGGCUGGAGUGCGGCAGAGGGGGAUGGAAUUCCGCGUGUAGCAGUGAAAUGCGUAGAUAUGCGGAGGAACACCGAUGGCGAAGGCAGACCCCUGGGCCUGCACUGACGCUCAUGCACGAAAGCGUGGGGAGCAAACAGGAUUAGAUACCCUGGUAGUCCACGCCCUAAACGAUGUCGACUGGUUGUUGGGUCUUAGGUGACUCAGUAACGAAGCUAACGCGUGAAGUCGACCGCCUGGGGAGUACGGCCGCAAGGUUGAA
This 375-nucleotide ribosomal RNA is filed under the name uncultured bacterium. Its description in RNAcentral is "bacterial SSU rRNA". It matches the Rfam family "Bacterial small subunit ribosomal RNA", at positions 523 to 898 of the family's 1533-position model. The record is from RNAcentral.